AAAAAAACAGACAUUCUACAUGAUUUCUCCCCGAACUUUGCAGGUAAUUUACUUCUUUUUUUUAUGUUGUGGGCUGCAGUUUUUGGCUGAGGCCAGUAGCUUGAUUAGUUGAGAAAUAUGUGCAUUCUGCUUUCAUUACUAGGGUGAGACAUUUAGUUUGAAGUAGGUGAUGGUAGUUCAUUCUGAAUAUCUCUAAGGUAGACAUAAUUAAAUUAUCAAUUUUUGUAAAAACCACUAUACGAUCACAUCUGGGAAAUAUACCUCAGAACUAGAGGGAAUACCUGUCGGAGUUUUGUUACCUCAAAGAAACAGGCAUUCUUGAUUGUCAAGUGUGAUCUCACAUCUGGGAGACAGCUUGUAUACAGGUACAAUAUAGUUCAAAUACACAUGUAAAGUUACAUGCCAGGCAUUCCUGCAUAGUUCUAAAAAGUCUGGAACCCACAUUUCAAAUACAUUUUUUAUCAAUUUUAACAGAUUUUUUACAAACUGUGCAACAUUGAAAAUGUCAUACAUCUCUUUAUAUAUAAUUUACUACAUUUAAUGUGACUGACGACAGUGAUGAACAGACAACAUUUCAUAUGCAAAUAUAGUCACAGAUUUCACAUACUGCAGUCCCCUAGAGCAGUGGUUUUUGAACCUCUCCGUGACCUCUAGAAUCUCGCAAUUAUAUUGUGGCCCUGAACUAGGUCACCUGAAUCAAGAGGUCAAGGGUUAGAUAUUUAGCAGACAAGUUGAUUCAGGUGUGCUAAAUCUGCAGAAGCUGGGCGUCCCAUGGAGAGGUUUGAGACAAUUAAUAUUAGAAAAUUAAAAAGUUGUGAAUAAUGCUUUAAUAUGGUUGGUUUUGAAUGGUAAAACGAGCAUACCAUGUUCACAAACAUUUAAGAGAGUAAUUCCUGAAAUGUUCAAUGUUCCCAUGUCCACAUUCUCCAGACCACCACAUCACUGAUCUGUUGGACAGCCAAGGCAGUGGGUGGCUCUGAUGGGAUGACCGAUGUGUCCGGAGGACAGAUGUGGCCACUGUGCUGAGGACCAGAGCUCACACUGCCUACAUCCUCUUCUAUGUGUGCAGUGGACCAGGUGAGGGAGACCAAGCAGAAUUAGAAGAGCUUCCAGAAGAAUAUGUCUGCCCAAGACCACCAAGGUAAUCAUUGGGAAACUCUUUAGAGCACGAGGACUGAGGGAAGACACUGGUUUUGACUGGGGGGAGGCUACCUUAGCAUGGGACAGCGACAAUUCAUGUCCACUAAAAUUGGUUGUUAAUCUUCUUCAAAUAUAAAUGCAUAUGUAAUGUCUUAAAGGGGAUCAAAAGCUGCAUGAUCUUGCAUGAAAAGUGGGCAUUUGAGGGAACUCCUGGGCAGGGACACAAACUGUAAAGGCAAGAAACAGAAGUGAGACUGGUGUGGGGUCUUCUCUUUCCUUCCUGGAAUCAUUGGGAUCUUCAGACGUCCGUUGCCCAACAUCAGAAACACUUGUUUUAUGAACUCUGCUCUGCAGCGCCUGUUGGAACUGCCUGCAUUCUGCAGAGACAUCCUGAGACAGCAGGACAUCUGGAGUUCCUACCCCUCUUCUAAACUGCUCCAGUACACUACAGAACAAAGUCCCUCCUGAAAUAUCACUAGUAGAAACCUAAACCCUUUUACGUUCUAUGCGUCCUAUAGAACCUACAAUGAGGGGUAAAGUAUUUGAUCCCCUGUUAAUUUUGUACAUUUGCCUACUGACAAUGAAAUGAUCACUCUAUAAUUUUAAUG
This is a long non-coding RNA of Esox lucius (northern pike), 1748 nucleotides long. RefSeq lists it as uncharacterized. The transcript is spliced from 3 exons. NCBI's taxonomy places the organism in Eukaryota, Metazoa, Chordata, Actinopteri, Esociformes, Esocidae. The record is from RefSeq and is a predicted model, not a curated record.